UAGGGAAUCUUCCACAAUGGGCACAAGCCUGAUGGAGCAACACCGCGUGAGUGAAGAAGGGUUUCGGCUCGUAAAGCUCUGUUGUUAAAGAAGAACACGUAUGAGAGUAACUGUUCAUACGUUGACGGUAUUUAACCAGAAAGUCACGGCUAACUACGUGCAAG
This 164-nucleotide ribosomal RNA is filed under the name uncultured bacterium. RNAcentral describes it as "partial 16S ribosomal RNA". It matches the Rfam family "Bacterial small subunit ribosomal RNA", at positions 355 to 511 of the family's 1533-position model. The record is from RNAcentral.